This 468-nucleotide unclassified non-coding RNA is filed under the name Hevea brasiliensis (rubber tree). The record is from RNAcentral. Lineage: Eukaryota; Viridiplantae; Streptophyta; Magnoliopsida; Malpighiales; Euphorbiaceae.
GGCGGACACUGUGCAAUACCGGCUAGAACGCAUGGUCGACGAGCUCGACGACUUAGAGAAGCGAGGACUGUUCACGCGUCGCGAGAUAGCUGAGAUCGUGAAGCAGAGGCGAAAGUUCGAAUAUAGAUUGAAGAGACCGAGUCCACUUAAGCAGGACUACUUGGCCUACAUAGAGUACGAGAUUCAGCUCGACUCUCUUCGCCGCCUUCGAAAGAAAUCUGUGUCGCGUGAGCUUAAAAAGAAGGGAAAUAAGAAAAUAAAGAUGUCGGUGUCUGAUUUUGCUGGCGUUUCGAGAAUCGUCGACAUUUAUAGGCUUUCUGUAAUGAGAUAUAAGGGAGAUAUUGAGCUGUGGUUUCGAUAUUUGGAGUUUUGUAGGGAGCGAAGGAAUGGCAGAAUGAAAAAGGUCCUGGCUCAAUUAAUUAGGUUUCAUCCAAAGGUCCCAGGAGUUUGGAUUUAUGCUGCAGCGUG